Long non-coding RNA from Raphanus sativus (radish), 3237 nucleotides. RefSeq lists it as uncharacterized. The transcript is spliced from 3 exons. The record is from RefSeq and is a predicted model, not a curated record. Lineage: Eukaryota; Viridiplantae; Streptophyta; Magnoliopsida; Brassicales; Brassicaceae.
AAUCAAUCGCACAUUUCCGAAAAAUCUACUAAAGAGGGGAUUAGCUUCUUUGACGAAAUCAACACAAUCGCUUUACACACAAUCGUCUGAGAUUCUUGCACACAUGAUUCUUCUUCAAGCUCGUACUCUCACCUUCAGUUUCUGUUUCUUUCUCGUUUCACUACAUCAUGUGUUUCCGACAGUCAUUGAAGUUCAUGUAAAUUUGCUGGAUUUAUGUGUUACAGUGGGUGCAUGUCCUUUUUCCAUUGCUCCUUACUUAUUUCAUAACCAGAAAGGGUGGUGGACAGAUAUUUUAUAAUCACUGAUGAUUUCAAACCGGCAGUCUCUAAUAUUGAACAAUGACAUAUUGCUUUCGGUGAAACACAUAAGAGGAGAAAAAGUAAGAGUACGACAUGCAUAGCAGAACUAAUAGUUUCACCAAACAAUACUCGCUAUUAGUGAAGAUGUAUUCUAUUUGGACAUGAAUUUAGAAUAAAGAGCUUCUCAUAAAUAUGUGGCCAUGCCUUCUUCUGUUUCAAAGAAAUAUAUGGCUGCCGAUCCAAAGGUUAGAUUCAUACUUUCUAAGUAGUUGUGUAAUAGUUUUGGUACUGAUUCAAGGAUACUAAAGUUUGUCCCACCUAGUCUUUUUCACGGUUGCAUGAAUCUUGUCAUGCUGUGUCAAACAAAAAACAAACAUAAUAGUAAGAAACCAUGGCAUGUAUAGCAACACAUAAAACUAAAGUUCAGGAAAAUAAGACAAUAUAAAACUUACUCUACUAUCGACUAAAACCAUUUAAAUAUUCUCACCUCCAGAAACAGAAUAUUGUUUCUAGAGACAAUAAUUUCACUAUCUUUCACAUGGAUUUGAAAGGCUUCAAAUAACAAAUUAAAUUAAUCGCAGCCAUCGCCAAUUACAUGUGUUAGAGAAAUAGUUUAUUUUCUGUUUGAAAUGAAUAUAUGAUUAAUCCGGUCGUUCCUCUUUCUAUUAUAUAGAAUGUAGAAAGUGAAUCUAGAAUUAAUUGCAAAAUAAUAUGGAAUCAAUCUGUAAACAUAGAUUAUCAAUUACAUUAAAUUAGAAUAUUGACAUAAUCAAAUUACGCAUCAAUAUUAGCCUUAUUUGAGUAUAGAAAUUUAAUUUUCACCUGUAAACAGAGUGUAUAUAUAGUAUUCGUAGGCCUUGAUGAGAAAGCUAUGUGUUAUUAUAUUAAUGAGUAAAUUUUGCUUAAAUGAUUCAUAAUUAGCAAUAGCAAUAUAGGAAACUUUCACCUAAGACAAUAAUAUCUAAUGAACAGACAAUAAAAUUGCAUCAUUAUUUUUUUUAUUUACUCUUUUUUUUUUGAGAAAACGUUAUCUCUAUUUACUUGCAUACGUAAAACUGAUGAGCUUGGGAACCAAGUUUAAUUAUUAUUAUUAAUAUUUUUUUCAGUAUUUCGAAGAAUUCAAACAUUGAGCAAAUAAAUUACAUGAUUCAAGUUACCUUUGAUGCCUUUUUUUGAAAACAAAAUCAAACAUCGGGUCAAAUUGGUUUUAACUUUUAAGUAAACCAUGCAAUACAAUAGUACACUAAAUCAAUGAUAUUAAAAUGGUUAUUGAUCAAACACAACGCAUCAAUAAUUUUCUUAAAUCCUAAAUCUUUAUUUAACCACAAAUCUUAAUGGUUGAAACAGAUGGUGAUAUAUAUAGUUACACCAUUGGUGCUGCCUGGAAAUGUAUGAUGCCUGAAAUUACCCCAAGUUUCACCAUUGUAAUGCAUCAAUUAAUUUAAUCUUGUACACCAAAUAUAAAUGGCUGAAACAGUAUGUGAGAGAUGGUGGAGCUCUGGUACAUAAGACUCUUUUCACUAUUGGAUUGUGUUUUGCAAAAAAAAAUCGGUAAAGCUUUCUAACAUGGUUGCUAUUAUUAAACAGCUCUAUCAUGUAAAGUGGCUUUGAGCAGAAUAAUAAAUCAAAUUGUCGUAUUGUUGGUACAAAUGUAAUAAGGGAUGCACGGUUGACAAUGAUGUUAGGUCUGAUCAAACAAAGUGAAAACCAGUUUGGUAUGUUCUAAUAAACUGUCGGUUAUUAAUAGAUAGAACAAUCAUUAUAUUGAAGUAAAUUAUGUCGGACAAAACUAUUUAGACCAGUGGUAUUAGCUGUAAAUCUUCUAGUAAUGAAAGGGUUUUUAAAUAGCUUGGUUGAGAAAGAUUGUGAGCUUGACACAUAAGCAAAAUGACAUGGUUGUAAAUAAGUUACAAAUUAAAGGUUACUCUCCUAAAAUGUUUCUCUAUUAAUAAGAAAGGGAUACCUUAAUUUAACAUAUAAAUUGGUUUUCUUUGAAUAUUUGGAUAAAAAAAUCAAUAGAUAUUUAACUAUUUUGGUGUUUUCAGUAUACUUUAGCUAUUUUAAACAUUUAUUUUUGACUAUUUGCAUAUAUUUUCCGAGUAUUCUGGAAAACUUAAAGGUAUCUUAUAUAUUUUUAAUAUUUUUAAUAUACAUUAUAUAUAAAAAUAAUGUAUAUAUUUAAGUAUAUAAAUUUAUUUUGGAUACAUUCGGGUACCCAAAAUAUUUCGGUUCGGAUCGGGUUCGGUUUCGGUUCUUUAAAUACCGAAAUUUUGAACCCGUUCGGAUAUUUAAUCAAUUUCGGUUCGGGUUCGGUGGUACUUUUUCGGAUCGGGUUCGGUUUGGUUUUUCGGGUUCGGAUUUUUUGCCCAGCCCUAUUUUAGAUAUUGAGAUUAAAUUGCAUUUCUUUGUCCAAUUGAAUAGGCCUCUCUUUUUACUCGAUCUCCUUGUGGUUUAGUUCACUAACUGUGACUUUUAUCUGUUGUAGGGCUGUUCCCUCUCUCCUCCUGCAAGUUAGGGUUUAGUUCACUAACUGUGCUUCUCUUCUCAAUGAUAUGGCUACAACUUUAGUUGCUGUGGAUAUUUUACCUUUUUGGGGUAGAGGUCUUUAGGUUUACGUAUUCAUUGUGACUAAAGGUCAGACUGCAAGGGAAAUAGUUAUUUAGUUAACCUUCUCAUUGGAUUUUAUGAGCAUUUUUUAAAUUCAUUGCACAUAUCUUCAUUCUUGAUUUCUGCUUUGGAACGUAGAAGUUGUCAGUGCAUAGUUAAAAGUUGAAGCUUCUAAUGAUUCAUAUAGUAGCUGAAUCUGCAGAAUCUUGUGAUUUAAAUGCAUGUUUCUUAUGAUUAGCUAUGUUUCUUUGUUUUGUGUUAUUUUGCAUGCCUUCGUUGUAGCCGAAAAGAGAUAUAUGCAUCGUUUCCAUGGUAUGAUUCAGUGUAUUGA